Ascodesmis nigricans is the source of this 113-nucleotide non-coding RNA. The record is from the annotation of a GenBank genome assembly. Lineage: Eukaryota; Fungi; Ascomycota; Pezizomycetes; Pezizales; Ascodesmidaceae.
GCUUGGUUGGCUCAGUUGGUAGAGCGUUGGUCUCAUAUCCUCCGUGCAUAUGACGGUUUCAAUUUAAUGAAGCUGAUAUCCAAAGGUCGUGAGUUCGAGCCUCACACCGAGCA